This 2207-nucleotide long non-coding RNA is filed under the name Bos indicus x Bos taurus (hybrid cattle). RNAcentral describes it as "lncRNA (ENSBIXG00005002782.1)". Lineage: Eukaryota; Metazoa; Chordata; Mammalia; Artiodactyla; Bovidae. The record is from RNAcentral.
GGAAGGGAUAGCCUUCGUUUCCACGAUGACUCUCUGGAUUAGGUUUAAGGGCAGUAUCAGCCUGAAACAAGUAUUCUGGCAUCUUGUCUCGUAGGUGCUUUACUCAAAAAGUAGACAGAUGUCUACUUUUGGAGUAAAGACCUACAUUCAGCUCAAGACCUGAAUGACCUGACUUUUCUUUCAUGCUAGAGAUGAAGUCAGUGGAAGAGGGAAAAAAAAAUAUUGAAAGAGUGCAUUUGACAACGGUGGGAGAGCAGAGAGGAGGGACUUCCAAGACAUCUUUGCCGCUCAGGUGGACUCCAGGUGACUGAGGGUGACGGAACAGGAAAAGCGAAGAAUGGUUGUGCAUCUUUCUUAAAAGCCAUGUGCACCUGUUGGUGAGAUUUUGUUUCUGAUAAUAGCUUCUUUCUGCCCUUCUAGAGAGUUUGUAGUGGCUGAUGUAUGAACAAAGGAGACUGCUACUUUGUACAAAGAAGAUGGCUAAAGAUGAACCUUCUCUAAAGCAGGGAAAAGUGUUACAUAAAACAUAAUUUUUUUUUUUCUCAAACAAGAAACGUCCUUACAGUUCUAAGCCAUUUUCAGGAUACUUUCAAAACUGAGAAAAACAUCUGGUAACUAAAUCCUUUCUUUAAAAAUGCAUUUAUUCUUGUUAAUGUAGGAGUCAAGACCCUUAGCUGUGACAAUAUGGAAAGAAUCAUAAUUAUGUCCAAGAGUGUAGAACUAAAGUAGAUUUUUCAUAAACACUGGGAGUCCAUUUUAAUAUGUAGAUUAUAUGGCAGCAAGGCAAUAAUUUUAAAUUCCACCGCUUCUCCAUAAGUUAUUUCCUGAUAAUUCUGCUUGUAAUCGUUUCACCCCUCCCAAACCUACAUAUGCAGGCAGACUCUUUGUCACAGCUGCUCACUGGACAUCUCCGCAGUGGAUAUUCCAAAGUUUCCUCGAAUCCACAAUGGCACCACGGAGGUCAAGUCUGUGGAGAUGUAGCAUGAAGCUCUGCCUGGUGGGUUUCAGCGUGAAGAAUGUGUCUGUGAAGGAUAUUCAUCUUGGCUUUGUGACCAAGAUGACCCGAAGGAGGAUGACCGGAAGGAGGAAGGAAGGAGGCCGGAAGCUUUGUGGCGCCGGUGAUCAUCUUGAAUCACGCGGGACAGAUCCACACCAGCUAUUCCCCAGUGCUGACUGCCACACAUCUCGUGCAAGUUUGCUGAACUGAGGGAAAAGAUCGACUGGUUCUCUAGCAACAAGCUGGAGGACGACUGAACAAGGCCCUGAAGUCGGGCAGUGCGGCCAUUGUGCAGAUGGUUCCCAGCAAGGCCAUGUGUGUGGAGACCUUCUCUGAAUACCCAGUUCUAGAAAAGCCAGGGACUGAUGAUGGCUGCUGAGCCCUGGGAAGGAAAGGACCUCUGACUGAGGCCAAGGAGUCUUCCCUUCUGUGCCUCAGUCUUCCUUCCUCUUCAGGCCAUUUUGUUGUGCAGGACAUGAGGCAAAUGGCGGCCAUUGGAGUCAUCAAGGCCAUGGAUAAGAAGACAUCCAUUGAGGGCAACGACACCAAGUUAGCAGUGAAGGACAGCAAGAAAUGAAGCAUGUUUUCUUCCUGGCCAUUUCCUUGGCAAUCUCCACUAUAUAAGACACUUUUGUGUAUUUACUGAGUAAAAUUAAUAACAAUGCUUAAACUUGCUAUCUAUCCUGGUUUCUUCCAAUGAGGAAAGCACAAGAUCAGUGAGGAACCUCUGGGUUGAUGAACAACUAACUCAAGGCCCGUGGGCUUCAAAGUGUUUUACCACCCAGAGGUCUAUACCAUCCUUUUCCUGUUUCCCUCACACUUAAAAGUAUUUUUACAAUGGCAUAAUGCCAAUAGGCUAAUCCAACACUACAAUGUAUGUCCCUCUCACCCACCUUCUCUUUAAUAUGUAAUUUUUUUUUUACUAAAUAUAGUUGAUUUACAAUGUUGUGUUAGUUUCAGGUGUACAGCAAAGUGAUUCAGUUCUUUCUCUAUGUGUCUCUAUCUAUAUCUAUACUUUUUCAGAUUAUUUUCCAUUACAGGUUAUUACAAGAUAUUGCCUCUAGUUCCCUGUGCUAUAUAGUAGGCUCUUGUUGUUUAUCUAUUUUAUGUACAGUAGUGUGUAUCUGUUAAUCUCAAACACCUAAAUUAUCCCUCCCUGCCCCUCUCUGCUUCCCUGUUUGGUUAACCAUGUUUCUUUUCUAUGUCUGUU